RNAcentral lists this ribosomal RNA (503 nucleotides) under uncultured bacterium. RNAcentral's name for it is "partial 16S ribosomal RNA". It matches the Rfam family "Bacterial small subunit ribosomal RNA", at positions 30 to 523 of the family's 1533-position model. The record is from RNAcentral.
AUUGAACGCUGGCGGCAGGCUUAACACAUGCAAGUCGAGCGGGGUGAUGGUGCUUGCACUAUCACUUAGCGGCGGACGGGUGAGUAAUGCUUAGGAAUCUGCCUAUUAGUGGGGGACAACAUCUCGAAAGGGAUGCUAAUACCGCAUACGUCCUACGGGAGAAAGCAGGGGAUCACUUGUGACCUUGCGCUAAUAGAUGAGCCUAAGUCGGAUUAGCUAGUUGGUGGGGUAAAGGCCUACCAAGGCGACGAUCUGUAGCGGGUCUGAGAGGCUGAUCCGCCACACUGGGACUGAGACACGGCCCAGACUCCUACGGGAGGCAGCAGUGGGGAAUAUUGGACAAUGGGGGGAACCCUGAUCCAGCCAUGCCGCGUGUGUGAAGAAGGCCUUAUGGUUGUGAAGCACUUUAAGCGAGGAGGAGGCUUACCUAGUUAAUACCUGGGAUAAGUGGACGUUACUCGCAGAAUAAGCACCGGCUAACUCUGUGCCAGCCGCCGCCGUAA